GGUGACGGUUCCUGCACCUCGGACAGAACGUUCUCUCUUCGUGUUUCUGGUCUUUGAAUGUUCAGACAGUGCAGUACAUACUCAACAGAAUGAAGUUCAUUGUCUUGUGUGAACAUGCAGCAAUAAAUCUUUUAGUUACUUCAUGAGAUGCCACUGUGCUUCUGCCUAUAGAGAGAGAAUAACAGAAACCUGGGAGCGCUGAAGAUCUGACUCUGGAUCUGUGCAUUGAGAGCUGCUUACUCUUUACACGGGCUUGUGAUGAUGAUCAACAGGACUGAAAGACUUCUCUUGCUUCUUCAGCUGAAGAUGAUGGAUUCCUGUUCUGUCCAGCAAGAUGAGGCACAAAACCUUCCUCCCAUCCUUAUGCACACAAUACAGCAAAUGUUUUCUUGAACAAGUUCAAUCUGAAGCAAGUCUUCUGUAAUAAUGCAGAUCAUCAGUGAGCUUCAGACAGUUUGUGAGGACAUCCAGGAUUCAUGAACCAAGAUUUUCUGCGAGAGACCUUUGAUUCAACUCCAUACCUAUUACACCGUGAACGAGAAGACAUUCAGCAAGUAAAGGGUUGAACGAGAAAGAGCUGGACACUGAUUCAACAGCCUUGAAGAACUUCUGGAGCACAGAGCAGCUCCCUCUAAGUGCUUGUAAGAAGAACUUGAGAAGCCACUUGUAAUCUGCAACAUGUUUCAUUAUUUCACAUCAAAUGUAGAAUUUCUCCUGGUCAAAGCUGCGUAUGGUUUGCACUACUGUAUUGUGUGUUGUGAGAAAAUAAAACGGAUUUGUAUAAUGUAUAAUGAGAGUCAUUGAGAACAGAUGCACACUUUUAUGUAAACAAGAACAUCCAAGGAUCACUAUUAUCAGCUAAUGGAAAGCAAAGCUAGGAAUAAAAAAAUAUUCAGCUGAAAAGUCUAAAAUGUCUUUAACUCGUUGAUGUGUUUGGCAUCAUCUUAAGACUUCUGUAAUCACAGCAAUAAACACACGCAGGAGAGUACAGGCCGUCAUCAACAGCUUCAUCCCUCGUGUGGACAUGAGAAUAUUUUAUCAUAAAUCAUCUUCAGGCUAUGAUAGUCUCGGAGGUGAACAGCAUUAUAUAUUCAUAGGCUGCUCCGUUCCAGCAGUGAACCGGAAACACAGAGAUGAGGAACAGAGAAUAAACACCAGCAAUUAUAAUCUCAGUCUAUUGAAUUAAGUUCUUCAUUUAGGGAUGUAAACAUUUACACGUUACACUGCAAAACAGACGCAUGUUCAGAGCGUUUAUGCUGGUUUUUCUUUCUAAAAGGAUUAAAAUCCAUAUUUUUUUCACUAUAGAAAUAAACAAAUAACUGCAGACCACCCUUUUCUAAAGAUAUGCAUGAUUUGUGUAUGGUUCUUCCUGAUAAAUAAUAAAUAGGGACAGCUGUGUUUAAGCUCUGAAGGAAUAAAGCAGACCUGACCUGAGCCUGCAGUUUGCUCAAGGACUAAUAUUAAAUAAUGUUAAUGACUGUGGGAUAUGUCAGCUUUUUUUCAGAUAAUCCAUAAUUAUAAACCAUAAAAACAAAGGGCUGUGUUCAGUUUCGUAUGCCGUCCUGAUCUUUCUAAUUUUAGAAACUAUUCCCUUUCCUAACUGACCUGCAUGUGAAAUCAGCGUUCAGCCCAGUUUGACUCAUUAUUUGAUAAGACUGCCAAAGACAUAUUUACUGGAUUAAAGAAGCUAAUAUCUGUCCUCCUUUUGUUAAGAUAACCAAAGAAAUGUGACUGAAUUAAACAUAGAUGGAUAAAGAUUUUGUUAAGUUUGAAAAAGCCUGCUUUGC
This is a long non-coding RNA of Puntigrus tetrazona (Sumatra barb), 1787 nucleotides long. RefSeq lists it as uncharacterized. The record is from RefSeq and is a predicted model, not a curated record. The transcript is spliced from 3 exons. NCBI's taxonomy places the organism in Eukaryota, Metazoa, Chordata, Actinopteri, Cypriniformes, Cyprinidae.